Molecule: long non-coding RNA, 302 nt
Filed under: Homo sapiens (human)
Lineage: Eukaryota; Metazoa; Chordata; Mammalia; Primates; Hominidae
Description: HSALNT0126172
Source: RNAcentral
UUGACCCCUGUCUCUGCGAGGCUCUGGGCUCCUGAGUGACUGAAGAGUGGUUUGCAUGAAACCGUGGGCUGUGUCCACACCAAGCUCCUUGCACACAGGCGUGCAAUACCAGUUUUUUUCAGUUAAGAGCUUUCGAUCGUGCAAGUUCAAGGGAGGGACUUCUCAAAGAGACAAAGCCCUUAGGUGUGUUCUGUGCAACGGGUGUGCUCCACUGACCCAUAACAAAGUUGCCAGAAUCGCAGAAGUGCCAUAUACGGACAAGGAAAACGAGAUGAGAGGGAGGGAUAAAGUUGAGAGGCGGA